GGGUUUCCCGGAAGAUGGCGGACUGAGAAGCUGCAAGUGGCUUGAGCUCCGACCACAUCUCCUGGAAAUAAUGCCACCAGGAUGCUGGCUAGGCUUCCCUGGAUUGAAGACCCCACCAAUGUGUCCUGAAGCUCAGCUUCCCCAGAGACACACCCUACUAGGGAAA
This is a long non-coding RNA of Erinaceus europaeus (western European hedgehog), 166 nucleotides long. RefSeq lists it as uncharacterized. The transcript has 2 exons. The record is from RefSeq and is a predicted model, not a curated record. NCBI's taxonomy places the organism in Eukaryota, Metazoa, Chordata, Mammalia, Eulipotyphla, Erinaceidae.